CGGAGGUGCAAGCGUUAUCCGGAUUUAUUGGGUUUAAAGGGUCCGUAGGCGGAUCUGUAAGUCAGUGGUGAAAUCUCACAGCUUAACUGUGAAACUGCCAUUGAUACUGCAGGUCUUGAGUAAAUUUGAAGUGGCUGGAAUAAGUAGUGUAGCGGUGAAAUGCAUAGAUAUUACUUAGAACACCAAUUGCGAAGGCAGGUCACUAAGAUUUAACUGGCGCUGAUGGACGAAAGCGUGGGAGCGAACAGGAUU
Molecule: ribosomal RNA, 252 nt
Filed under: uncultured bacterium
Lineage: Bacteria
Description: partial 16S ribosomal RNA
Rfam family: Bacterial small subunit ribosomal RNA
Source: RNAcentral